This 465-nucleotide ribosomal RNA is filed under the name Vreelandella stevensii. RNAcentral describes it as "partial 16S ribosomal RNA". It matches the Rfam family "Bacterial small subunit ribosomal RNA", at positions 338 to 795 of the family's 1533-position model. The record is from RNAcentral. Lineage: Bacteria; Pseudomonadati; Pseudomonadota; Gammaproteobacteria; Oceanospirillales; Halomonadaceae.
CCUACGGGAGGCUGCAGUGGGGAAUAUUGGACAAUGGGCGAAAGCCUGAUCCAGCCAUGCCGCGUGUGUGAAGAAGGCCUUCGGGUUGUAAAGCACUUUCAGUGGGGAAGAAAGCCUUGGGGCUAAUACCCUCGAGGAAGGACAUCACCCACAGAAGAAGCACCGGCUAACUCCGUGCCAGCAGCCGCGGUAAUACGGAGGGUGCGAGCGUUAAUCGGAAUUACUGGGCGUAAAGCGCGCGUAGGCGGUCUGAUAAGCCGGUUGUGAAAGCCCCGGGCUCAACCUGGGAACGGCAUCCGGAACUGUCAGGCUAGAGUGCAGGAGAGGAAGGUAGAAUUCCCGGUGUAGAGGUGAAAUGCGUAGAGAUCGGGAGGAAUACCAGUGGCGAAGGCGGCCUUCUGGACUGACACUGACGCUGAGGUGCGAAAGCGUGGGUAGCAAACAGGAUUAGAUACCCGAGUAGUC